CAGAAAAUAGUUUAAUGUUAGAACUCUGGCUUUGGGUGUCAGGGGUGGGGGUUAGAGCCCCCUUUUUCUGG
This 71-nucleotide transfer RNA is filed under the name Enteromius hulstaerti (butterfly barb). Its description in RNAcentral is "tRNA-Pro". It matches the Rfam family "tRNA". Rfam says of the family: Transfer RNA (tRNA) molecules are approximately 80 nucleotides in length. Their secondary structure includes four short double-helical elements and three loops (D, anti-codon, and T loops). Lineage: Eukaryota; Metazoa; Chordata; Actinopteri; Cypriniformes; Cyprinidae. The record is from RNAcentral.